Non-coding RNA from Oryctolagus cuniculus (rabbit), 4038 nucleotides. Lineage: Eukaryota; Metazoa; Chordata; Mammalia; Lagomorpha; Leporidae. The record is from RefSeq and is a predicted model, not a curated record.
CCUAAAACAUUAACAAACCAUUAGAAUUUAUGAGUGUUUUCACAUAUCAGUGUUUCAUGGAAGUAUUAACAACCAAAAUUUCUAGUUCAUUUACUAAUUUGAAUCACAAAUUUGCAUUUUCCAAAACUACUGAACUUAAAACCAAAUUCAAGCACAAGCAGAGGUUCUCCAAGAAUUUGAUCUCACGACCCCUUUGCACUCUUGAAAAUUACUGAGAACGCCAAGAUGCUUUUGUUUUAUAUCUCCUGAUUUUACUGUUCUGGAAAUCAAGCUGUAAUUAUUUAAAAUAUAUAUUUGUUCAUUCAGUUAAACAUAAUAUGAAUAAACCCAUUAUGUUAAUAUAAAUAGCAUUUUUAUGAAAACUAAUUUACAUGUUUUCAAAAAACUAAGUGAAAAGAGUGUACUGUUUUACAUUUUACAAAUCUCUUUCAUAUCCGCCCUAAAGACAACAGAGCUGGAUUCUCAUAUUUGUUUCUGUACUCUAUUUAUCGUGAUAUUCCAUGUCAUGCAGUUUCUAGAGCACCCCACCACAUACUCAUGAAUGAAUGAGAGUGAAAAGGGCAAAUAACAUCUUUGAUUCGUGACAAAACUAGUUUUGGAAUCACGGAGCUCCCACAGGGUGUCCUGGACUCCCAGGGACGGGUCCUGCAGCCAUACUCUGAGAACCACUGAUAAACUGAAUCAGAUGUCCAGCUGAUGAGUGAAUGACCAUUCUGGACACCAUGAAUACAGCUGUGAACAGAGACCCAGUCCUCACUCUUAGGGAGCUGCCAUCCCACUGGCUGGCAGGACGUCAGGGCUGACCUAGCACAAAGCCUCACUGAUGACCUUCUGAGGCAUUGGCACCUGCUUUUAAUAUGAGGGGGUUCAUGUGUACCCUCUCUUCUCACACUGGACAGGCAUUGCUCAGAUCUGUUUCCUUGGACUGUGUGUGUAUACCACCUACACAUAUACGGUACAGGUCUGCGUGUGUACAUCAACUACACGUAUAUAGUGCACAUCUGUGUGCAUACUACUAUACAUAUAUAGUACAGGUCUGCGUGUGUAUACCAACUACAUGUAUAUAGUGCACAUCUGUGUGUAUACCACCAUACAUAUAUAGUGCACAUCUGUGUGUAUACCACUAUACAUAUAUAGUGCACGUCUGCAGGUGUAUACCAACUAUACCACUAUACAUAUAUAGUGCACAUCUGUGUGUAUACCACUAUACAUAUAUAGUGCAGGUCUGUGUGUGUAUACCAACUACAUGUAUAUAGUGCACAUCUGUGUGUAUACUACUAUACAUAUACAGUACAGGUCUGUGUGUGUAUACCAACUACAUGUAUAUAGUGCACAUCUGUGUGUAUACCACUAUACAUAUAUAGUGCAGGUCUGUGUGUGUAUACCAACUACAUGUAUAUAGUGCACAUCUGUGUGUAUACUACUAUACAUAUACAGUACAGGUCUGUGUGUGUAUACCAACUACAUGUAUAUAGUGCACAUCUGUGUGUAUACCACUAUACAUAUAUAGUGCAGGUCUGUGUGUGUAUACCAACUACAUGUAUAUAGUGCACAUCUGUGUGUAUACCACUAUACAUAUAUAGUGCAGGUCUGUGUGUGUAUACCAACUACAUGUAUAUAGUGCACAUCUGUGUGUAUACUACUAUACAUAUACAGUACAGGUCUGUGUGUGUAUACCAACUACAUGUAUAUAGUGCACAUCUGUGUGUAUACCACUAUACAUAUAUAGUGCAGGUCUGUGUGUGUAUACCAACUACAUGUAUAUAGUGCACAUCUGUGUGUAUACUACUAUACAUAUAUAGUACAGGUCUGUGUGUGUAUACCAACUACAUGUAUAUAGUGCACAUCUGUGUGUAUACCACUAUACAUAUAUAGUGCAGGUCUGUGUGUGUAUACCAACUACAUGUAUAUAGUGCACAUCUGGGCAUAUACCACUAUACAUAUAUAGUGCACGUCUGCAUGUGUAUACCAACUACAUGUAUAUAGUGCACAUCUGUGUGUAUACCACUAUACAUAUAUAGUGCAGGUCUGUGUGUGUAUACCAACUACAUUUAUAUAGUGCACGUCUGUGUGUAUACCACUUACACAUACAUAGUGCACGUCUGUGUGUAUACCACUAUACAUAUAUAGUACACGUCUGUGUGUGUGUACUGCUACACAUAUAUAGUCUGUGUGUAUAGCAUGUCUGUGUAUGUAUGUGUAUACCAACUACAUGUAUAAAUCUGCUAAUAUAUUUAAGAUAAUUUUAACUAAAUGUAUGUAGUCUUUUAUAAUAUUCUAAAACUUGAUGUUUUUAUUUAUUAUACACAUCUUUUCAUACACAUAAGAGGAGUUUUCAAAAAAAGUCAUGGAACACAUGUAUUCUGAAGAAAACUGCAUGUAUCUGAAACUUUUUUGUACCAAAAUACUCAUUUUUUAGGUCCAUUUUUCCAUGAGCUUGUGGAAGUAUCCUUGUACAUGCCUGCAACAUUCUUAAAUAACAACUGCUUCAUGUUCUAUUAUCUAGAUAACUACAAUUUAUUUCCAUACUGCUGGAUAUUUAGGCUAUCAGAAUCUAAAGUUUUUAAACAUUUAUUUUAGAGAGAGUGAGCAAGAAAGAGUACUUCCACACACUGGUUCACUCCCCCAGAUUCCUGCAACAGUGACCAGGGCUGGAACCAGAAGCUAGGAACACAAACCAGGUCUCCCACAGAGGGGACAGGGACCCAGGAAUCUCAGCCAUCACAAGUGCUCCUUCCCAGGGCCUGCAACAGCAGGAAGCUGCCAGUGGGAGCUAGAGCCAAGCACCUUAACCAGUGUCCUAACAACAGACCAAAUGCCUUCUAUUUUAAUAUAUUUUGAAAUUAUAAAACAAUGCUGAAAUGGAUAACCAUAUCCAUAUUCAUUUUUACCAAUUUUUUUUUCAGAAACUGAUUUAAAUUUAAAAUACAGAAGUUUUCUGACUUAGAUUGGGGUUACACCCCAAUAAGCUCACUGUACGUUGAAAAUACUGUAAACCGAAAAUACAUUUCAGGGGCUGGUGCUGUGGUGCCGCGGGUUAAGCCACUGCCUGCAGUGCCGGCAUCCCAUAUGGGCACCGGUUCAAUUUCCGGCUGCCCUGCUUCAGAUUCUGCUCCCUCUAAUGGCCUGGGAAAACAGCGGAAGAUGGCCCAAGUGCCUGGACCCUUGCCAUCCAUGUGGGACACAUCCAUGUGGGCUCCUGGUUUUGACUUCGCCCAGUCCCAUCUGUUGUGGCAAUUUGGGGAAUGAACCUGUAGAUGAAGAUCUCUCUCAAUCUCUCCCUCUCUGUGCCUUCCUGCUCUCUCUGUAACUGUGUGUGUAUGUAAAAGACAAUACAUUUCAGGCAUGUAAGCUAUUGAACAUCAUAGCUUAGCAACACAGUACACUGUAGGAUUUCAGCUGAUCACCCUUGUAAUUUGUGGCUGACUGGGUGGGUGCUAGCUGCAGCUCACUGCCACUGUCCAGAGCUAGUUUCUACUGAACACGUAUCACUGUCAUACCAUCAUCAAAUCAUAAAAAUCCCAAGUUGGGAACCAUCAUAAAUUAGGACUAUCUGUAUUGUUAGCUCUUAUACAAAUCUUCAAAAAAGUUUUAUCAAUUUGUAUUCCUAUCAAUAAUAUAUGAUAGUGUUCAUGUUUAUCAUCUUUUUAAUGCCUGCUAAUCUUAGCUAAAAAUGAUAUCAACUCUUUAUGUUACACAUUAUUAAUUAUUUGUGAGGUUAGACACAUUUUCAUAUAAUUAUUAGCCAUUUGAAUUUCUCACUCUUAAUUACCUGACUGUAUUCUUUGCCCAUUGUAUUACUGAAUUAUUUCCAUGUUUAAAAUGUAUUUACUAGACUACUUCCAUAACAUUUACUGUCUGCUCCAUAAAGUACUAACGUUUGUUCCCAGUGUGUUACUUGCUUUUGUUUCUGGUCACUGGCACCUCAUGGAAAUUUCUAAUUUCCAGGUUUCCUUUCAUGUUGUAUUUAGAGAGGGCUUCCCCAUUCUAGUAUUAUAGAAAUAUCCACAGGGAUGGCAUUGUGGCGUAGUGGGUUAA